Molecule: long non-coding RNA, 1954 nt
Organism: Cottoperca gobio
Lineage: Eukaryota; Metazoa; Chordata; Actinopteri; Perciformes; Bovichtidae
Source: Ensembl
UGUGUGUGUGUGUGUGUGUGUGUGUGUGUCGUUGUGAAGCGGAGCCUCUGCAGAUGAACUCCUGAAUGUUCUGAUCCACUAAAGUUACGCACGCUGUGAGAAGAUCUGUCCGCUCUACUUGAUGUAUCUGGAGAAGUAUGAAAUGAUUUGGUCUGUUACAGAAGGAUGGACCGGGAGCUGCUUCGUCAGAGCCAAUCAGAACACGGAGAGGCCACCAAUGGGACCACGCCCGACACCUCCGCCCCUACAACUCCCACCCCCCCUCGACUCACCCCCAACCCCAUGCUCCUGGACUCUCCUGCACCCACGCUGACGCCCACCACCUCCUCCCCUCCUCCCCCUCUCACCCCUGCUCCCUCCGUCUCAGCGACACACAUCCCGAAGGUUGCGGCGACUACAGCCGGUGCUCCGUCCCCCCACAUCCUCAUCCCUGCUCCCCCUAAGCUCACCUCCACUGCAACCCCCACCCUCCGCACGUACUCUCGCCCGAUCCUUCCCUCCACGACGGGCGCCUCCAAACCCCCCCCCCCCCACCACUCAAACCUCCCCUCUCCUCCCUCCGUGCUCUCCUGUUGUAGCCACAAGCUCCUCGCCCCUCCUCUCUUCUUCUUCUGCAACGUACAGCAGCACCGCCAUGUCGACCAAGACCUCCACCAGCCUGACCAACGGGAACACGAGGCCGGUGUCCACGCCGACCUCCACACCCAUCACGCCCUUUCACACACCAGCCAGUCCACCUGGCAGACAGGUAUCACAGGCUCAUCCUGUGGGAACACCUGGUCCUGUGCGAGCUGAUCAGAGCCCCUCCCCUGUGAGGCAGAGGGUCUCCCAGCAGACAUUGCUCCUGGGGAAAGGUCUCAAAGGGUCUAGCCAAGAACAGGUGCUGCUUAGAGCUCAGAUGGUAAACACAGACACACACACACACACACACACACACACACACACACACACACACACACACACACACACACACACACACACACACACACACACACACACACACACACACACACACACACAUCUUCAGCGCUUGAAUAUGAUUCUGCUCUUUAUUUCCUCUCAUUGUCUUCCUCCAGCUGAUUCUUACGUCUGCUAUGCGACCUGCCCUGUCCUCCUCCUCUUCCUCCUCUUCCUCUCCUCCUUACUCUAACCUUGCCUCCGCUCAGGUGAGCAGCUCAGCCACUGCAACCUUUCCUGUGUGCAUGUUUGAUGUUCAUGUUGCUCGCUCCUGUUGCAUGACGGUCAGACGUCCUCUUCUUGCCCCACACAUGCAGAUUACAGUGACAGCUCGUCUUCUCUUCAAAUGUCUUAUGACUUUUUGAUUUCAGACACUUCCUCCAUCAGACAGAAGACACGGGGAAACAUUACCCAUUAAACUUCCACAAACUAACGUAGCUUGUUCACGAUAUGCUAACUCUUUAACGCUAACGCAUUAGCAUGUAGAAACUGUUAGCCCGACAUGCUAACAGCAGCUAACAGCAGCUAAAGUAUAAAGACGUGUUUCAGCUCUAACUUUCUGUCUCUGCAGCUCCAGAGUCUCACCCUGAGGCCUCCUCCCUCCGGGGCCCUCACCAUCCCUCCCUCCCUGCGCCUCAAGCCCCCCUGCUCCGCCCCGCCCCCCCUCUCUCGCCCUCACGCCCCCCUCUUCCCGCCUCUCAGGCCGCGACCGCAGCUCUGCACCACGGCAACGGAGAGCCCCAACACGCCGAGCCGCCACCUCUCCGUCCCGCCUCCAAGUAGGUCCCAGGAGGAAAACUAAUAAUAACUCUGGGGGGGGGGGUGUGUGUGUGUGUGUGUGUGUGUGUGUGCGUGUGUGUACGUGUGUGUGUACGUGUGUGUAUGUGUGUGUGUGUACGUGUGCGUGUGUGUACGUGUGUGUGUGUGUGUGUUUGUACGUGUGUAUGUGGGUGUGUGUGCGUGUGUGUACGUGUGUGUGUGUACGUGUGUGUGUGUG